GCACCAUCCAGAGAAUCGCUGUCGCAGCUCACGCACUGAAAGCCUAUGUGCUUUCUCACCUUUUGCUGUGGGGAAAGUCCCCGGAGACCGCGCAGAGCCGCUCGUCAAAGGCCGGAGUCCAGCUCGUCACACUUGGAGGAAAGCGCCUAUCCCGAGGCACGAUAGGAAGUGUGAUCUCUGUGCCCGAGAUGGGUGCAUAGGCGUCACUUGUUAUAUCACUUGCGAAGCGGUGCAUGUGACUCGAAAGACGUGCUCUGCCCCCCGCGCAUGCUGGGUAUCCCGGCAGUCUCUCUUUCACUCCGUAAAGUCCGAACAUGGCAUUAUGCGCAGGCGAAGAUAGGAGCCGUGUGGAGCCGUGUGGGAUGGGGUGGGAUAGAGCUGUCUGGAGAGUAGUUGCCGGAACCAUGUUGCUCAUAGCCGAUAGUUAUGCGAUUGCGUCUAUGCUGGCCUCGGCCAGUACGGUCGUAACUCAAUGGGGCUCAUUCCUGAAUGGUG
This 495-nucleotide RNase MRP RNA is filed under the name Rhizoctonia solani AG-1 IA. RNAcentral describes it as "RNase MRP". It matches the Rfam family "RNase MRP". Rfam says of the family: RNase MRP is an enzymatically active ribonucleoprotein with two distinct roles in eukaryotes. In mitochondria it plays a direct role in the initiation of mitochondrial DNA replication. The record is from Rfam by way of RNAcentral. Lineage: Eukaryota; Fungi; Basidiomycota; Agaricomycetes; Cantharellales; Ceratobasidiaceae.